RNAcentral lists this ribosomal RNA (440 nucleotides) under uncultured bacterium. RNAcentral's name for it is "partial 16S ribosomal RNA". It matches the Rfam family "Bacterial small subunit ribosomal RNA", at positions 338 to 795 of the family's 1533-position model. The record is from RNAcentral.
CCUACGGGAGGCUGCAGUGGGGAAUAUUGCACAAUGGGGGAAACCCUGAUGCAGCGACGCCGCGUGAGUGAAGAAGUAAUUAGUUAUGUAAAGCUCUAUCAGCAGGGAAGAAAAUGACGGUACCUGAGUAAGAAGCCACAGCUAACUACGUGCCAGCAGCCGCGGUAAUACGGAGGGGGCAAGCGUUAUCCGGAUUUACUGGGGUUAAAGGGAGCGUAGACGGCAGUGCAAGUCUGGAGGGAAAGGCGGGGGCUCAACCCCCGGACUGCUCUGGAAACUGUACGGCUUGAGUGCAGGAGAGGUAAGUGGAAUUCCUAGUGUAGCGGUGAAAUGCGUAGAUAUUAGGAGGAACACCAGUGGCGAAGGCGGCUUACUGGACUGUAACUGACGUUGAGGCUCGAAAGCGUGGGGAGCAAACAGGAUUAGAUACCCCAGUAGUC